GGGGAUUUAGCUCAGUGGUAGAGCACUUGCCUAGCAAGCGAAAGGCCCUGGGUUCGGUCCCCAGCUCCA
This is a non-coding RNA of Rattus norvegicus (Norway rat), 69 nucleotides long. The record is from Rfam. NCBI's taxonomy places the organism in Eukaryota, Metazoa, Chordata, Mammalia, Rodentia, Muridae.